Molecule: ribosomal RNA, 459 nt
Filed under: uncultured bacterium
Lineage: Bacteria
Description: partial 16S ribosomal RNA
Rfam family: Bacterial small subunit ribosomal RNA
Source: RNAcentral
CCUACGGGAGGCAGCAGUAGGGAAUAUUGCUCAAUGGGGGAAACACUGAACCAGCCAAGCCGCGUGAGGGAUGAAGGUACAGAGUAUCGUAAACCUCUUUUGUCAGGGAACAAAGGCGGGGACGUGUCCCCGGCUGAGUGUACCUGAAGAAAAAGCAUCGGCUAACUCCGUGCCAGCAGCCGCGGUAAUACGGAGGAUGCGAGCGUUAUCCGGAUUUAUUGGGUUUAAAGGGUGCGCAGGCGGUCUGUUAAGUCAGCGGUCAAAGCCCGGGGCUCAACCCCGGCCCGCCGUUGAAACUGGCAGUCUCGAGUUGGAGAGAAGUAUGCGGAAUGCGCGGUGUAGCGGUGAAAUGCAUAGAUAUCGCGCAGAACUCCGAUUGCGAAGGCAGCAUGCCGGCUCCACACUGACGCUGAGGCACGAAAGCGUGGGUAUCGAACAGGAUUAGAUACCCCAGUAGUC